Molecule: ribosomal RNA, 842 nt
Filed under: Lophiotrema hydei
Lineage: Eukaryota; Fungi; Ascomycota; Dothideomycetes; Pleosporales; Lophiotremataceae
Description: partial large subunit ribosomal RNA
Rfam family: Eukaryotic large subunit ribosomal RNA
Source: RNAcentral
UGCCCUAGUAACGGCGAGUGAAGCGGCAAGAGCUCAAAUUUGAAAUCUGGCCCUCUCAGGGUCCGAGUUGUAAUUUGUAGAGGGCGCUUUGGCGUUGGCCCCGGCCUAAGUUCCUUGGAACAGGACGUCACAGAGGGUGAGAACCCCGUACGUGGCCGCCGGCCUCCGCCGUGUAAAGCCCCUUCGACGAGUCGAGUUGUUUGGGAAUGCAGCUCUAAAUGGGAGGUAAAUUUCUUCUAAAGCUAAAUACUGGCCAGAGACCGAUAGCGCACAAGUAGAGUGAUCGAAAGAUGAAAAGCACUUUGGAAAGAGAGUCAAAAAGCACGUGAAAUUGUUGAAAGGGAAGCGCUUGCAGCCAGACUUGCCUGUAGUUGCUCAUCCGAGCUCCCGCUCGGUGCACUCUUCUGCGGGCAGGCCAGCAUCAGUCCGGGCGGUCGGAUAAAGGCCUCGGGAAUGUAGCUCCCCUCGGGGAGUGUUAUAGCCCGGGGUGCCAUGCGACCAGCCUGGACUGAGGUCCGCGCAUCUGCUAGGAUGCUGGCGUAAUGGCUGUAAGCGGCCCGUCUUGAAACACGGACCAAGGAGUCUAACAUCUAUGCGAGUGUUUGGGUGUCAAGCCCGGGCGCGCAAUGAAAGUGAACGGAGGUGGGAACCCCUCGGGGCGCACCAUCGACCGAUCCUGAUGUCUUCGGAUGGAUUUGAGUAAGAGCAUAGCUGUUGGGACCCGAAAGAUGGUGAACUAUGCCUGAAUAGGGUGAAGCCAGAGGAAACUCUGGUGGAGGCUCGCAGCGGUUCUGACGUGCAAAUCGAUCGUCAAAUUUGGGCAUAGGGGCGAAAGACUAAUC